CAGUUUUACGUAACAAUAUCUAGCGAUAUACUACGAUCCGACGUUUGUGGUACACUUUUGUAUGAAAUUAAUGACCAAUAUACUACACUUGUCGACAAAUAUACUACAAUAUACGUUCAAUAUAAGUUCGAAAGUGUAAAAUCGCCAUUGUAUAUAGACCAAAAACAUGCAAAUACAUACGAUAUACCCAUUACGAUUUC
The sequence is a regulatory RNA element, 200 nucleotides long. It matches the Rfam family "Baculoviridae Nucleocapsid Assembly essential Element". From Rfam's summary of the family: Internal cis-element within the ac83 gene. The record is from Rfam.